UACCAGCUCUCCGAGUGGUAGGGAUGAUUAUUGGGCUUAAAGCGUCCGUAGCCGGCUUAGCAAGUCUCCUGUUAAAUUCAGCGACCUAAUCGUUGAGCCGCGGGAGAUACUACUAGGCUAGGAGGCGGGAGAGGUCAACGGUACUUCCGGGGUAGGGGUGAAAUCCUAUAAUCCCGGGAGGACCACCAGUGGCGAAGGCUGUUGACUAGAACGCGCUCGACGGUGAGGGACGAAAGCUGGGGGAGCGAACCGGAUUAGAUACCCGGGUAGUCCCGGCUGUAAACGAUGCGAGCUAGGUGUUGGGGUGGCUACGUGCCACUUCAGUGCCGCAGGGAAGCCAUUAAGCUCGCCGCCUGGGGAGUACGGCCGCAAGGCUGAAACUUAAAGGAAUUGGCGGGGGAGCGACCACAAGGCGUGAAGCUUGCGGUUC
RNAcentral lists this ribosomal RNA (430 nucleotides) under uncultured archaeon. RNAcentral describes it as "bacterial SSU rRNA". It matches the Rfam family "Archaeal small subunit ribosomal RNA", at positions 474 to 903 of the family's 1478-position model. The record is from RNAcentral.